RNAcentral lists this ribosomal RNA (254 nucleotides) under uncultured bacterium. RNAcentral's name for it is "partial 16S ribosomal RNA". It matches the Rfam family "Bacterial small subunit ribosomal RNA", at positions 524 to 776 of the family's 1533-position model. The record is from RNAcentral.
GACGAACCGUGCGAACGUUAUUCGGAAUCACUGGGCUUAAAGGGCGCGUAGGCGGGCCGCAAAGUCAGGGGUGAAAUCCUCCAGCCCAACUGGAGAAGCGCCUUUGGUACUGGCGGCCUCGAGGGGUGCAGGGGCAUGCGGAACUCAGGGUGGAGCGGUGAAAUGCGUAGAUAUCCUGAGGAACACCGGUGGCGAAAGCGGCGUGCUGGACACCUUCUGACGCUGAGGCGCGAAAGCCAGGGGAGCCGAACGGG